This 491-nucleotide ribosomal RNA is filed under the name uncultured bacterium. Its description in RNAcentral is "partial 16S ribosomal RNA". It matches the Rfam family "Bacterial small subunit ribosomal RNA", at positions 29 to 507 of the family's 1533-position model. The record is from RNAcentral.
AGUGAACGCUGGCGGUAGGCCUAACACAUGCAAGUCGAACGGCAGCACAGUAAGAGCUUGCUCUUACGGGUGGCGAGUGGCGGACGGGUGAGGAGUACAUCGGAAUCUACUUUUUCGUGGGGGAUAACGUAGGGAAACUUACGCUAAUACCGCAUACGACCUACGGGUGAAAGCAGGGGAUCUUCGGACCUUGCGCGAUUGAAUGAGCCGAUGUCGGAUUAGCUAGUUGGCGGGGUAAAGGCCCACCAAGGCGACGAUCCGUAGCUGGUCUGAGAGGAUGAUCAGCCACACUGGAACUGAGACACGGUCCAGACUCCUACGGAGGCAGCAGUGGGGAAUAUUGGACAAUGGGCGCAAGCCUGAUCCAGCCAUACCGCGUGGGUGAAGAAGGCCUUCGGGUUGUAAAGCCCUUUUGUUGGGAAAGAAAAGCAGCAGGUUAAUACCCCGCUGUUCUGACGGUACCCAAAGAAUAAGCACCGGCUAACUUCGUG